RNAcentral lists this transfer-messenger RNA (360 nucleotides) under Acidobacteriota. RNAcentral's name for it is "J065 sp003695625 Standard tmRNA". It matches the Rfam family "transfer-messenger RNA". Rfam says of the family: Bacterial tmRNA, also known as 10Sa RNA or SsrA, is named for its dual tRNA and mRNA-like properties. Its role is to liberate the mRNA from a stalled ribosome. Lineage: Bacteria; Pseudomonadati. RNAcentral also lists the same sequence under 1 other name. The record is from RNAcentral.
GGGGGCGAAAGGACUCGACGGGGAAUGGAAAGCACGGGUGGCACGCCGAGGUUUCCCGGACCCUCGCAAAACACCGGGACGCUUAAACACAAGCGCCAACGACAACUACGCACUCGCUGCCUGAUUGAACAGGUAGCCGUCCCGGUCGCUCUCGUCCGUGGGGGUGGCCAGGGGCGCAACAUCACACGGACUCGGUCGCGUCUCGCUGGCCCGGCGUGACGCGGCGACAUCAACGGGCUGGCGCCGCGUGAUCCUGCCCUUCGGAGCUCGCGGCGCGAGAAACAAAAGAAGCGGCUAAGCGUGUAGAAGCCCGUCGUGGACCUUCCUCGGACGCGGGUUCGAUUCCCGCCGCCUCCACCA